Molecule: transfer RNA, 88 nt
Filed under: Oscillospiraceae bacterium
Lineage: Bacteria; Bacillati; Bacillota; Clostridia; Eubacteriales; Oscillospiraceae
Description: tRNA-Ser
Rfam family: tRNA
About the family: Transfer RNA (tRNA) molecules are approximately 80 nucleotides in length. Their secondary structure includes four short double-helical elements and three loops (D, anti-codon, and T loops).
Source: RNAcentral
GGAGAGAUGGCUGAGCGGUUUAAGGCGCACGACUGGAAAUCGUGUGUCGGCUAAUACCCGACCGCGGGUUCAAAUCCCGCUCUCUCCG